CAAAAGAGAGGAAGGCCAGACAGAGAGGAAGUUUGCCCUGCACACACAUACAGACCCACACUUAGAAACAUGCCCCGGCUCAUUUGUUCCCACUGACAGGAGAGGAGAGGGAUGGUUCUCUACAAGACAUGCCUAAGGGAGGAGGACAGGUCCAGGAAGUGGUGGCAGCAGGCUAAGCAAGGUAGGCCAGAUGUCCUUCUCCCUAGCUACGUCUUCCAGUUCUUUCUGGUGAUGAGGUGUUCCCAGGACAUAUGGGAUAUGAACUGCAAUCCCUUCAGUAUGUUCUGGGUUUGCCCAGAACACCUCCACCCAGAAGAAGGCGACCAGGGAGCAUCCUAAUCAGAUGCCCGAACUACCUAAACUGGAUCCUUUAAAUCCAUAGACGCAGCGGUUCUACUCAAGCUCUUUCUGUUAAUCUGACCUCAAAGCCCAAUUGAUACUUUCUGCAUCCCUGUGGAUUUAAGGGCCAACGUGACAUUUUGUCAUCCAGCCAUGUCUGGGAGGGCCCACAUGGACCAUGCAUUUGCAGCCCAAAAUUUGUGAUUUGAAUAAAACAAGUCCAAUCUUGUGCUUUCUGUCUCUACACAAAGCUCAUGAGCAUAGGUGAAGUCUGGAACAUAAAUUGACUCUGUAAAUCAAGAGUGCCGCCUUCAGGUUAAGCUCCCUCUUCACCUCUACAGCCUGGUAGAGCCAGGUUCAACUUUUUUGCUGGACCACCCUUCAUCCGUUUUUGCUGGAGCCCCCUGUGUCCAGACCGCUGUGCAAAUGCAGUGUUCUCAUUUAAAUGAAAGAGGGGGCUGUGUUUUUCCAUGCAAUGCUAAUUCCGGUCUGAACACUCUCAAGUAAAAAUCAUUAGCUAAUAUUAUAUUUUUCUGCUUAGAUGUUCUGUUGAAGAAGUUUGGGCUUCUGUAGGUGGCACUCUUUUCCUUUCCAAGCCACAGUGACUGUCACUAUCAUGCUAAACAAGAUGCAUCUUCUUCUAAUUAUUUCAAACUGCUGUUGAGGCUGCCAAAUACAAGACACAUUACUUCCCAUGAUGCUACUUGUUCCAGAGGAUUCUUCAUGGGAAUGAAUUACAUAACACUGAGUGUUUACUACAGCAAAGCUCCGGGUACAACAAACAAAUAAAAGCAUUAAGAACUGAA
Siniperca chuatsi (mandarin fish) is the source of this 1145-nucleotide long non-coding RNA. RefSeq lists it as uncharacterized. NCBI's taxonomy places the organism in Eukaryota, Metazoa, Chordata, Actinopteri, Centrarchiformes, Sinipercidae. The transcript is spliced from 2 exons. The record is from RefSeq and is a predicted model, not a curated record.